UUUUAAGAGAACCUGUUUAAACUACCGUAAAUACUUCAAACAAAAUAUUUUUUUACUUCAAUUUUAAUUUCGAAAAAAGUGGAUCAUACUAUAUCAAAGUUUCUUGAUGAUCACUUUCUAAAGUUUUUCUCCCUCAGCUCACUACUGAUGACCUCCAUUUUUCGGCCGGUGACCCAAAACAGGAAGUUGUAUAAAUGACUGUUUUUCCCGGAAUGG
RNAcentral lists this long non-coding RNA (216 nucleotides) under Mytilus galloprovincialis (Mediterranean mussel). Lineage: Eukaryota; Metazoa; Mollusca; Bivalvia; Mytilida; Mytilidae. The record is from RNAcentral.